Molecule: ribosomal RNA, 43 nt
Filed under: Alexandrium tamiyavanichii
Lineage: Eukaryota; Dinophyceae; Gonyaulacales; Pyrocystaceae
Description: partial 18S ribosomal RNA
Rfam family: Eukaryotic small subunit ribosomal RNA
Source: RNAcentral
UCGUAACAAGGUUUCCGUAGGUGAACCUGCGGAAGGAUCAUUU